RNAcentral lists this ribosomal RNA (500 nucleotides) under uncultured bacterium. Its description in RNAcentral is "partial 16S ribosomal RNA". It matches the Rfam family "Bacterial small subunit ribosomal RNA", at positions 29 to 523 of the family's 1533-position model. The record is from RNAcentral.
AUUGAACGCUGGCGGCGUGCUUAACACAUGCAAGUCGAUCGGUAACGCGGGGGCAACCCUGGCGACGAGAGGCGGACGGGUGAGGAACGCUUGGGAAUCUGCCUAUCAGCGGGGGACAACCCGGGGAAACUCGGGCUAAUACCGCAUACGCUCUACGGAGGAAAGCCGGGGACCGCAAGGCCUGGCACUGAUAGAUGAGCCCAAGUCGGAUUAGCUAGUUGGCGGGGUAACGGCCCACCAAGGCGACGAUCCGUAGCUGGUCUGAGAGGACGAUCAGCCACACUGGGACUGAGACACGGCCCAGACUCCUACGGGAGGCAGCAGUGGGGAAUAUUGGACAAUGGGGGAAACCCUGAUCCAGCGACGCCGCGUGGGUGAAGAAGGCCUGCGGGCUGUAAAGCCCUUUCGGUAGGGACGAAAGCUCUCGACCUGACACGUCGGGAGGUUGACUUAACCUACAAAAGAAGCACCGGCUAACUCUGUGCCAGCAGCCGCGGUAA